GCUGAAGCUAAAGGCCCCCUAACGGAGAAACCGGUUCUACGGAACCCGAGUGAGGUGGAGCAUCUUUUCAAAUGACACGUGCAUACAGUGAAGUAUGAUGAGUCUUGAGGAAUGUGGCGGAUACACGGCUAUGAAAUGAAGUGGAACAAGCAAGGCCCAAAAGAAGAUGUAAGCAGUGGAUAAUCUUGUUUGCACAACUACCUGAGAAGUUUUAUUGUACCAGUGCUACUGAAUUAUAUGCCAACAGUCAUGUCGUGCUCAAGCAUCAACAACGAUCUUGAAUGAUCCAUCAGCUCUACUAGUGUUUUGUCGAAAGCAAAGCUGGAAACCUUUUAAUUCUAAAAGAACAUGCUCUGCAGUCAUUAGAGUGAUUUACUUUCUCAGUUCCAGAUUUUCCAAGUGUGCCCUCGCUUGUACCCUAGAGGUUUCUAACCUGGGGUAAUGCACCUUAUCAGCCUGUGGGAAGGAUAAGAGGUGUACUUGCAAAUGAGAAGAAGGGCUAGUGUGGAGGGGAGGUGAGAGGGAGAGGCUGCCAGGCUAGUACUGGUAAGCUCACAAGAAGAUCCGUGUUAGGCAAGUAUGCAUGGAGGGUGAAGACCUGGAAAUCGGUCCCCUCAAAACUGACUGUACUUACAUCAAUCUUGGAAAGCCUCUGCAUAUACCUAAGAGUGCUGAGAUCCCAGUGUGAAGACCACUGCCGACCUGAGGGAAGAGUUUUACUCCAGGAUAUGGACACCAUGGCAUCCUUGGACACACCUGUAUGGGCUAUGGAGUGAAGGAGCAAACAUUUUGGGAUCACUCCUUCCUUUUCUUUCUCUUCCCUGGGUUGCAGAUGAAUAUUGCCUCUGAAGUCAGACUGUAAGGUAUAAGUUUUUAGUUUCCCCACUUACCAGUUUUCUAAAUAUGUACAAGUGAUUUAACUGUGUGCUUUGGUCUACUAAUGUGUG
Mustela lutreola (European mink) is the source of this 947-nucleotide long non-coding RNA. RefSeq lists it as uncharacterized. Lineage: Eukaryota; Metazoa; Chordata; Mammalia; Carnivora; Mustelidae. The record is from RefSeq and is a predicted model, not a curated record. The transcript is spliced from 3 exons.